This 441-nucleotide ribosomal RNA is filed under the name uncultured bacterium. RNAcentral describes it as "partial 16S ribosomal RNA". It matches the Rfam family "Bacterial small subunit ribosomal RNA", at positions 338 to 795 of the family's 1533-position model. The record is from RNAcentral.
CCUACGGGAGGCAGCAGUGGGGAAUAUUGCACAAUGGGGGAAACCCUGAUGCAGCGACGCCGCGUGAGUGAAGAAGUAUUUCGGUAUGUAAAGCUCUAUCAGCAGGGAAGAAGCAAGACGGUACCUGACUAAGAAGCCCCUGCUAACUACGUGCCAGCAGCCGCGGUACUACGUAGGGGGCAAGCGUUAUCCGGAUUUACUGGGUGUAAAGGGAGCGUAGACGGUAUGGCAAGUCUGAAGUGAAAGCCUAGGGCUUAACCCUGGGACUGCUUUGGAAACUGUUAGACUAGAGUGCUGGAGAGGUAAGUGGAAUUCCUAGUGUAGCGGUGAAAUGCGUAGAUAUUAGGAGGAACACCAGUGGCGAAGGCGGCUUACUAGACAGUAACUGACGUUGAGGCUCGAAAGCGUGGGGAGCAAACAGGAUUAGAUACCCUUGUAGUC